RNAcentral lists this small RNA (580 nucleotides) under Pongo abelii (Sumatran orangutan). RNAcentral's name for it is "processed transcript". The record is from RNAcentral. Lineage: Eukaryota; Metazoa; Chordata; Mammalia; Primates; Hominidae.
CUCGUAUCCCCCGCGGAGGCCGAGAGCUGACAGUCUCGGGGAUGAGCUCUGGGCAGGACGGCGGGCCGAGGAGCCCGGGGAGGGACCCGGAGCUCCAGGUAGAAGCUGCGGAGGUUACCACCAAAGAACAUGAUUUUGGUCUAGGGGCUCCAGUUUCUGAAGCUGAAAACUACCAGAAUACUCUCCAGCUAGAACGAGAAGUGAGAAACCAAGAUAGAUUCAUCUCGACACUGAAAUUACAGAUUGAAGAUCUCAAACAGACAAAUCAUGGCUUGGAAGAAUAUGUUAGGAAACUCUUGGAUAGUAAGGAGGUGGUAAGCAGUCAAGUAGAUGAUUUAACCAGCCACAAUGAGCAUCUUUGUAAAGAAUUGAUUAAAAUUGACCAACUAGCAGAGCAACUAGAAAAGGAGAAAAAUUUUGUGGUGGAUUCCGCCAACAAGGAACUUGAAGAAGCCAAGAUUGAACUCAUUUGCCAGCAAAAUAAUAUUAUAGUAUUGGAAGAUACAAUAAAAAGGCUUAAAUCUAUAAUUUUAGAUACUGAAAAAGCACAAAAUAAAUCUCCUUCUAGACUUGAUUCCUU